AGACGCCCAAGGGUUGGUUCAUUACUUACAUAGAUAGAGAUUCAGAGACACUUUUUAAAGAGAGAAUGAAAAAUAAGAGAAUGCGUGCAGAUUUAGCUGAGGAAGAGAAGCAAGAGAGAGAGAUAAAGAGGCAAAUUGAGAGGGCUGAGCAAUUAGCACCUUUGGCUUCUGUAUCUGUUGAGCCUUUGGAGGCUGAACAAACGAGAGAGUUGAAAUUGGAUAGUGGGGUUAAGCUAGGAUUUGCUUUGGGAACAUCAUCAAAAUUGAAGGAGAAAUGUGAGAGUUCCAUGGUGGUUUUUGAUGAGGAUGAGACACAUGAGACUGCCAAGGGGAAACCUGUAGAGAAUUCCAAAAACAAGACGGCUGGUGGUGGUCUGUCAGCUUUGGAGGCAUUGAUGAGAGAAGAA
RNAcentral lists this unclassified non-coding RNA (407 nucleotides) under Hevea brasiliensis (rubber tree). Lineage: Eukaryota; Viridiplantae; Streptophyta; Magnoliopsida; Malpighiales; Euphorbiaceae. The record is from RNAcentral.